UCUCUAGUGGCUCUAGUGGUAAAGAAUCUGCCUGCAAUGCAGGAGACCUGGGUUCAAUCCCCAGGUUGGGAA
This 72-nucleotide transfer RNA is filed under the name Bos taurus (domestic cattle). It matches the Rfam family "tRNA". From Rfam's summary of the family: Transfer RNA (tRNA) molecules are approximately 80 nucleotides in length. Their secondary structure includes four short double-helical elements and three loops (D, anti-codon, and T loops). Lineage: Eukaryota; Metazoa; Chordata; Mammalia; Artiodactyla; Bovidae. RNAcentral also lists the same sequence under 5 other names. The record is from Rfam by way of RNAcentral.